UGCAUCUGUGUAACCUGGUGCAAACUGUGCAGGACAAGACAAACAAGACAGAAAUUACAAGACAAUACAAAAAAAGACAAUACACAGAAAAAGCACUGACCAGUGUAAAUUCUUUAUGUUCAAACAAUAUUGCAUGUGCAAAAAUACUGAGGUGAGAGAGGUGGGAGGGCAGUCUGUCAUAUCCACCAUGUCAUGUGGUUUGCUUGAAAACCCGGAUUGGAUCACUCUGGUCACCUGAGGAGAAAAAAAAAACGGUUCACGUUGGUAGUAAAGCGGCUGUCGGAUUAGCGCGGUUUUACUGUUCACACCAAUCCGUCUAUGUAAGGUUUAAUCAGGUUUAAUAACAACAACAAACACUUAUCUGACAUGUGUGAAGAAAAACUACAGCGCGCGCACGCACACACACACACGCGUUACAGCAUAAUUAUCCACUUUACUUUACUGAUCAUUUGCUUCGAAACGUUUAAUUCUGUUGUUUAUAAAACACCCAAACGACACAAAAAGCUCCUCUCCGUAUCUUUGAAAGCGCAUGAGCGCCAUAAACCUGUCUGAGACCCGCGGAUGGAUACGUCAGCGUUAUCCGCCUCGGAGCUGAACAAAGUCACGUAACAACCGGAAAAUAACAAAGCAGGGGGGGAAAACACACAAACGCUCAGAGAGGAGGAUAAAGCGUUUUUCACCACAUAACAACCCGGCGGUAAAAAAAAAAAAAAAAAUCCGUUUAAAUAAGACAAAAACAACGGCAGGUUUAAUAGUUCCAGGUCCUAACAGAAAGGUGUAAUCCGGUCCGCGGACGAAGAAGAAGAAAAAAAAAACCAACAACAAGGAGUGCGCGAGCGCAGAGACACACAGAGAGCUCGGUGUCGUUUCCAAGCGUCCUCCAUUUUGUCUCCUCGCGCAGGCUGCGGCUCACGUGUCCCGGACUUGUCUCUCUCACAUGACCCUCGUGUUUGUCCCCGUGAUCAGCGCCGCCGUCUCCGCGUUUCAAGUGUUGCCGAAUAUCGCGUUUAAAAAAAAGAGAGAGAGAGAGAAUCGCUCACCUUCAUGGAUAUGCUCGAACAGAGCCUGGACGCUCAGACGAGUCACGAGAAACAGGAAACUGAGGAGGUUGUUCAGUUGCAGGAAGGAGAAGGAGUAGGGGCGGAGGAAUCAACGGCGGUUACCAUAGCGAGCACCCAGCAAGCCGCUGUAUUUGCCGACAAUGUCCAGUACCAGUUCCGCACAGAAAACAGCAGUGGGCAGGUGACAUAUCGUGUCGUCCAGGUAACAGAAGACCAGUUGGAAGCAGCUGGAGAUGGAGGAGCUGCGGUCAGUGUCGUAUCCACUGCCGCCUUUGCUGGAGCCCAGCAGGCGGUUGCACAGGCUGUUAUCCAGAACCCUUUCAGUAACGGAGGGAGUCCGGCAGGUGAGACGGUCGGGGGUGAGACACGUUUCGCCUACUUCCCGGCUGCAACGGUCAGCGACGGUACAGCGACAGCAGUUUCAGUGCAGGCAGCUGCUGAUGCGACUCUUGCACCAGCAGCAGGUCAGUUUUAUGUGAUGAUGAGCCCUCCAGAUGUGUUACAAACAGGCACGCCGCGGACCAUCGCCCCUCGAACACACACUUAUUCCACUAAAAACGAGUCAAGUGAAGUGCAGAAGAAAAGGGCAUUUAGGCAACACAACACAUCGUGCACUGGACCGCAGACCAGCCUUACGUGUCCAGUGAAUACGGAUUCUCUGCACAGAAUGACAUCAUAUCAAGCGUCUUCAGCUGGUUUUGAGUUUUCCUUGUGGAGUUUUACUGUUUUACAGCUACAUCCAACUCCUUCAUCUGCAUUUCAUUUCCUCCUCUGUCCAAAAACAGGAAGAUGGACGGCCCAAGAGCACCGCGGGACGAGAGGAGGAGAGCGCAGCACAACGAAGUGGAAAGAAGAAGAAGAGACAAAAUCAACAACUGGAUAGUCACACUGUCAAAAAUCAUCCCGGACUGCAACAUGGACAACACCAAAACUGGAGCAAGCAAAGGAGGAAUCCUGUCCAAAGCGUGUGAUUACAUCAGAGAGCUCAGGCAGAGCAACCAGAGACUGCAGGAGAGUUUUAAAGAGGUGGAGAGAAUACAGGUGGAUAACGAGCUCUUAAGACAGCAGAUUGAAGACUUGAAGAACGACAACGCACUGCUCAGAGCCCAACUCCAACAGCAUGGCCUUGAAAUCAGCGGAGAGACCAUUUCGCAGUGACGGACAGUCGCACGCAGAAUGGAAUAGACACGGCUCUACAAAAUCACCUCACAGACUCCAGAUGUUUGUUAGCCUGAUAGAAUAAUAAUGGCUGUCUCAUAUUAACAGAAGAAAUGAUCCGAGAAACUAUUGAACAAUAGAUAAAAAAAAGCACAUCUACUGUUCCACCUGUCAGAGCUUGACCUACACGGGCGUGGCAACAAACUGAAACGCACCACAAUAUGUGACGUAAACCGGCCUGCAUCGGACUAACGUCUUUUUUUUUUUUUUUUUUUUUUAAUUAUGAUGAAUUGAAAUUCUCAACAAUGCCUCAUGAUCACAUUUUGUUUGAACUUGUGGUGGUUUUUCCUCUGCCCCAAUGCACCCCCCUCCACCCCCUGUAUUUCUUCAUAAUUAUUACUGCUGUCUCCAGAAUGUUGUAUUGUUUUGUCUGCAUUAUUUAUUAGCGCACAGAGAAGUACACAACAGGGAUGAACACAAUCACGUCUUUCACAUUUAAGAUGCUUUGCAGUUAAUUAGAGCAAAUUUUCCUUUGUUCCUGGGUCUAUUUAAGGUCUAGGGCUUUAAGCAAUUUCUAAGAUUCUGUUCAUCAGAUAUAUCAAAAGUCCGAGUUGUGGUGUAGAUGUACCAGGCAAUUAAUGAUUCAGAAUUUAAUUAAGCAAGUGAUGUUUCAAGAGCUUGGGGUUGACAGAGGACAUACCGUGGGACAGGAACGCUUGACCGGACGUCCCAUACUUUGAAUCCGUUUUCUAAACACUUUGUCGCCACAUAAAAUAUUAACGAGCGAGAAUGGCUUGAGCAGACCUCAGAAUUCAGACGUGUACUGUAUCCCAAACCAAACGCCCAGGAUAAAUGUGCUGAACAGAACUGAAAUGAUGGUCUCAAUUAGGAGGAAAUGCUUCCCAAUAACCACCUCUCCCACCUGUACCUGCCUUAAAAACUGCAAUAUUGCUUUGCUGUGGUAACAUAGAGAUUAAUAAAUUUAGUGGAAACCAUAGUUUACAUCACAAUGUAA
Molecule: RNA transcript, 3234 nt
Organism: Tachysurus fulvidraco (yellow catfish)
Lineage: Eukaryota; Metazoa; Chordata; Actinopteri; Siluriformes; Bagridae
Gene: usf2
Gene name: upstream transcription factor 2, c-fos interacting
Exons: 11
Source: RefSeq, a predicted model, not a curated record